This 1119-nucleotide long non-coding RNA is filed under the name Lathyrus oleraceus (garden pea). RNAcentral's name for it is "Pisum sativum (pea) long non-coding RNA (PSAT_LNC032827)". The record is from RNAcentral. Lineage: Eukaryota; Viridiplantae; Streptophyta; Magnoliopsida; Fabales; Fabaceae.
CACUUGCCUCUGCACCACAGCCAACUGGUAUGGCAGGCUUUAAUUCAUCUACGACACAAACAAAUGCCUUUUCUCCAUCACCUGUAUUUGGUCAAUCAUCAGCCAAUCUUUUCUCUAGCAUCACACCUAAUUCUAACCCAUUUGCACCAAAGACUUCAACAUUUUCUUCUGGAUUUGGAACUUCAGCUCCUGCUUUCAGUUCAUCGGCUUUUGGUUCUUCAACGUCAACAGCGCACCACUCACGUCCAAUGCUAUGACAGGUUUUGGUCAAACAGCGCCGUCAAUGUCAACACCAUUCCAAUCUGCGCAACCUACUCAGUCAAGUGGUGCCUUUUCCUUUAGUAACUUUGGCCAGACGCAACCUGCUGGUGCAAGUAGCUUCGGUGGGACUCCAGGCAUGUUUGGUCGGAAUAAUUUUGGACUUCAGCCUGUUCCCCAGAAUUAUGUGGUUGCACAAGCAGCACCCAUUACAAAUCCGUUUGGAACACUUCCUGCUUUGCCUCAGAUGUCAAUUGGCCGAGUUGGAACUACUCCUUCUGUUCAAUAUGGAAUCUCUAGCAUACCCACCCCUGCACGCAAUUCUAUCAGAAAAGAAGUUGGAAGUUCCUCUGGAAGUGACACGACUGACACUAGUCAUAGCUUUGUUGAUGUAAAUCAUUUUGAUAAUUCUAAGAUAGUUGCUUUAGAAAAAGAAAAGGACUUGAAUAAAUCAUCCGACAAUGAUGCUCGGGCUUCUGUAGAAGAAAAACUCAGACAGAGGGAUGCCAUGUAGUUUGUCUACUGUUCCAGUUGUAGUACCUACAACAAAUGAGCUCAGUAUGACUCUUGGUGCUUCCAAAAUUCCUNAUCUUUUCUCUAGCACAACACCUAAUUCUAACCCAUUUGCACCAAAGACUUCAACAUUUUCUUCUGGAUUUGGAACUUCAGCUCCUGCUUUCAGUUCAUCGGCUUUUGGUUCUUCAACGUCAACAGCGCACCACUCACGUCCAAUGCUAUGACAGGUUUUGGUCAAACAGCGCCGUCAAUGUCAACACCAUUCCAAUCUGCGCAACCUACUCAGUCAAGUGGUGCCUUUUCCUUUAGUAACUUUGGCCAGACGCAACCUGCUGGUGCAAGUAG